GGCUUUCGUAGGUGACCUGCGGAGGAUCAUUA
Molecule: ribosomal RNA, 32 nt
Filed under: Penicillium sp.
Lineage: Eukaryota; Fungi; Ascomycota; Eurotiomycetes; Eurotiales; Aspergillaceae
Description: partial 18S ribosomal RNA
Source: RNAcentral